Long non-coding RNA from Daktulosphaira vitifoliae (grape phylloxera), 2202 nucleotides. RefSeq lists it as uncharacterized. The record is from RefSeq and is a predicted model, not a curated record. The transcript is spliced from 2 exons. NCBI's taxonomy places the organism in Eukaryota, Metazoa, Arthropoda, Insecta, Hemiptera, Phylloxeridae.
CUUAUAUUAAAAAAAUAAUAUUUACUUGUUACAAAAUAAAAAAACGGUUGUCUCUGAAUUAGUAAGCUUACUCUGCUGGAUCAAUAUCUUGUAGACAUAUUAGUAUUAAUAAGUGUCUUUAAAUUAUGAAACAACAUGAUAAAUAUAUGAAUUUCUAGAGUUUAACUUUCAGAAUUUAGAUUUAUCAUUUACCAAUUGUCAAUAAAAAACUAAAAUUGUGAACAUUUAUAAAAAGUAUGCUGUAAGUAUUAUUUGCAUAUAUUUUUUAAUCAGGAUUUUUUUUCCUAGGGACCUCUAAGCAUUGGAUAAUACUUAAUAAUCAAGAAAACGAAGAAAAUACUUUUCUAUUAUAUGUAACAAGUUGCAAAAAACUCCCGGUAACUGAAGCCAAUUCAUCUUUAAAAGCUGAUAAUCCAAGAGGACAUUGUUGAGGAAUUGCAUUGUUACAGCUAAUCACAGCCAUAAUGAAUUCUUUAAAUCUUCGCUCUAUAAUUAUAAUAAAACACUUUAUAUUUUAGAAGUUAGUAAUAAAAAUAAUAACAAUAAUUAAUUAGCAGUUAUUUUCCAUAUAUAUUAAGUAUUGUUAUGAAAAAAGGUCUAUGUGUUAUCUAUUACUAAGCAUUACCACCUUAUGUCAAUAGAAGAGUCACAAAAAAUAAUAUUUAAAAGAAAUACUUAUAAAAAUUAAGAAAAUGACUGUUCAGUAUCAAUUUUUGAAUCAGUAUUUUAAAGAUAUUAGCACUUUUAUAUUAGAGUGGGAGGAAAAGUACUAUUCAUAAUCCAAAAUACUAGUCCAGAAGUUCUUGAUGACCAGGCAUUUUCUUUGUUUCAUCGUUAUUGUUUUCAUGAUCAUGAUGAUCAUUUCUUUGUUUUCAAGUGAGUUAAACAAAUAUAUUUCCAUUUGAAAAUCUUAAAUUGAUGCUAUUUUAAAUUAUAAAACAUAAGAUACUAUGCCUCUAAAAAGAAAACAAUUUUAAAAUGUUUUAUUUUAAAUGUUUGCAUGGUGAUUCCUUAACUACACCUUUUAAAAAAAAAUUUAAUUUUUACUAAUCAUAUGUUAUGACUUAAACUAUCAUCUACUUUUGUUUCUCAAAUGCAACCCUAUAUUUUUUUUUACUAACAGAUUUGAUUUAAUAAAAAUAAUAAUUAUUUUAAAAAAAUCUUAUUUAAUUUGUAGUGAGUCUUUUAAUUUUAAGGGAGAUAAAAAAAUAAGCAUUUACACAAUUCUGUUCAUUGCAAUGCUAAAAAUUUGUAGGGUUUUUUAAUUUAUAGUGUAUACAUCUUGUAGAAAAAAAUGCUUAUUUUUUUCAUCUCCCUUAAGAUUUUUAACUAACUGAAUUUUUAAUUAAAUAAAAAAUAUUAUCUAUAAACUUUUUUUUUUAAUUUUGUAUAAUUAAACCUUCUGAUGGUAAAAAAAAUGAGGUAGCCAUUUAAAAAACUAUCAUCAAGUUGAUGAUAGUUAAGACAUAAGAGAUGAUAUAAAUUUUAUUUUUUGAGUUGACUUACAAAGAAUAAUUAUUUUUAGUCGAGGCUUUUUGUUAUAAUAUUAAAAAAAUUAAUCAUUACUGUUAAAAAAAUAUAUAUAUAUUUUAAAAGAUAUUUGAUCAGACAUAGUUAUGGAAUCACUCUAGUUGUUUAUGAGAUUCUCAGUUUAAUUAAAAGUAAUUAAAAAAAUGUUUGAUUUUGUAACAAAAAGAAAGAAAUGUUUAUUCUUUUAUUGUAUUGAUAAAAUAUUGGGUUUCUAAAUUUUAUAUUAAACUUUAAAUAUAAAUAACUUUUUUCUUUUAUUUUGUUUUAUAAGUUAUUAAUUUAUAAUUUAAUUAACCCUUCAAUUUCUUUCAUAAUAUAUAAAAAUGAUAAUACUAAUUAUAUUUAAUGAAUUAAAAUGAUACCUGUAUAAAUAUUUUUAAAUACUUAGUGAUUUUUAACAAUAAAUAUUAGCUAUUAUAAAUAAAGAUAUUUACCAACUAGUGUUCUUAUUUUAUGCUCUGGUUCCAUUAUACAUAAGACUUGAGAUUCAAUUGUAUUCAUAACAUCUUGGGAUAAUAGUGAUCUAUUAAUGGAUUCUAAGUACUCAUUUGUAUCUUUAAUAGCUUGUUCAACAAUAUUUGGUAACAAUGAGCAAUUAUUUCUAGAAAAUUGUAAUAGUUAAAUUGUUUCUUUUUGUCAAUAUUCAUUAUUAAAUUUAUGAACUUACUUAUA